CUUUUAGAUAUAAUAAUUAAAGGUCGUGCCUGCUCACUGAUUAAUAGAUUUAAGGGCCGCAGUAAUUUGACUGUGCAAAGGUAGCAUAAUCAAUAGUUUUUUAAUUGGAAACUGGGAUGAAUGGUUUGACGAAAAAUUAACUGUCUCUUAAUAAUAUUUAGAAUUUAACUUUUAAGUUAAAAGGCUUAAAAUUUUUCUUUAGGACGAGAAGACCCUAUAGAGCUUGAUAUUUUUUAUAUAAUUUUGUUUUUACUUUUAUUUUUAUAUUAAAAAAAUAUUUUGUUGGGGUGAUAUAAAGGAUAUUUAAACUCUUUAUUAUUUAUUCAUUGAUUAAUGUUUUUUUGAUCUAAAAUUUUUGAUUAUAAGAUUAAGUUACCUUAGGGAUAACAGCGUAAUUAUUUUUGAGAGUUCAUAUUGACAAAGUAGUUUGCGACCUCGAUGUUGGAUUAAGAUUAAUAUUUGGUGUAGAGGCUAAAAAAUUAGGUCUGUUCGACCUUUAAAUUCUU
This 506-nucleotide ribosomal RNA is filed under the name Systella rafflesii. RNAcentral describes it as "partial 16S ribosomal RNA". It matches the Rfam family "Bacterial large subunit ribosomal RNA", at positions 1827 to 2597 of the family's 2925-position model. Lineage: Eukaryota; Metazoa; Arthropoda; Insecta; Orthoptera; Trigonopterygidae. The record is from RNAcentral.